Molecule: ribosomal RNA, 270 nt
Filed under: uncultured bacterium
Lineage: Bacteria
Description: partial 16S ribosomal RNA
Rfam family: Bacterial small subunit ribosomal RNA
Source: RNAcentral
AUUGAACGCUGGCUGCGUGCCUAACACAUGCAAGUCGAGCGGUAACAGGUGUAGCAAUACAUGCUGACGAGCGGCGAACUGGUGAGUAAUGCUUUGGAAUCUUCCCAGUAGUGGGGAACAACCAGUCGAAAGAUUGGCUAAUACCGCAUACGUCUGUGAAGAGAAAGCGGGGGAUCGUAAGACCUCGCGCUAUUGGAUGAGCCAAAGUCGGAUUAGCUAGUUGGUGAGGUAAUGGCUCACCAAGGCGACAAUCCGUAGCUGGUCUGAGAG